RNAcentral lists this long non-coding RNA (1191 nucleotides) under Callithrix jacchus (white-tufted-ear marmoset). RNAcentral describes it as "lncRNA (ENSCJAG00000083487.1)". Lineage: Eukaryota; Metazoa; Chordata; Mammalia; Primates; Cebidae. The record is from RNAcentral.
GGAAGGCUGUGAGAGAGGAGAUAUGCAAGCUGAGACCUAGAAGAGGAGAAGAGACAGACUGUCAUAGAGUGAAGUGCAGGCAUUCCAACCAGGAAACAGUGAGGACAGAUGGCCCCGGACGGGAAACAACCAUGACCUUUGAGAAUCCAGGAAGAGGCCAGCAGGCCUGAAGCAGGAUGAGGGAAGAGAGAGGGUGGGGAAACAGCCAGGGCCUUGUAGGCAUAGGAAGGGUCUGGGUUGUAAUUCAAGUGCAGUAGGGGCUGUGGAAGGACUGCAUGUCAAAGAUCAGCAAUUGUCCACAAGUAUCCAUUCUCCCCUUUGUCGUCAUUAAUAAAAUCUAAAAAGUUGAGCUGGGCAUGUGCCUGCCUAGAAUAAGAGCUUUCCCAGCCUCUUUUGCAGGUGUGGUCAUGUGACUUAAGCUCCGGCUGCUAGCAUCUAAGCCGAGGUGAUGUAAGCAACUUCUGAGUAGUGACCCCACCUCUCCUUGCUGUCAUUUGUGGUAUAGAUUAAAUGGCUGGAACCCCAGCACCAUCUCAGACUCUAAAGUGAUCUUGGAAAUAAAAACCAGGAUUGGAGGUGCCGUGAUCUAGACAGAGCCUGGAUUCCUGACUCCGCUGAACUGCCAUAGUCUCAGAUCUGCUGUGAUUGUUCCUUUUCACAAACCACAAUGACUCUGGAGAACCUGGCUGUAAACACCAGCACUGCCACCAGCUAAGGAUCUGUGAUCAGGAGUGCCAUGUCACGGUGACAGGGCUGGGUCCUGGGGACAGUGGAAAAUAAAGAAGACCCAGUUGGUACCUGCCAUCCUGGAACUUGGAGUCCAGUGAGGACAAUGGAUGAUCCACAAGCAGUUCACACAAAACAUUUCUAUUGAAUUGAUGAAAGCUAUGAUGAACUCAGCCAAUGCAAAAACAAGAUACAAAGGCUGGAGAAGAGCUAAGGGAAAGGAGCGGCUUUGCCAGGUGAGCUGGAGAGAGUGGGGGAUUACGGGGAAACAAAUGCAGUCAAAAGGGAAACAGCAAGAGAAAGUCCACUCAGCUGCCCCAAAAUAUGCUCUCACCUCGGACCCAUACUGGUCCUUCAAAUGCAUUUUUGUGUGAAGGGGUAUUGGGUGCACCCAGAAGAUGCACAGCAGGGCAGUCUUGUGUAUUUGCCUGUGUGGGAGAAAGAGAGAGUAUCUUAAUAGAAAGC